Molecule: long non-coding RNA, 1288 nt
Organism: Phragmites australis (common reed)
Lineage: Eukaryota; Viridiplantae; Streptophyta; Magnoliopsida; Poales; Poaceae
Exons: 5
Source: RefSeq, a predicted model, not a curated record
UUCAAAUUAAUUAGAAUACUGUUUAUUAUCUAAAGGUAGUAUAAGUAGUAUAUUAGAAGAGUAUACGUAGUAUAAGGGUAUUUCUGGAAAAAAAAGAAAUGGCAUGGUAGUUAUAUGGUGUUAAUGUAUAUGUUCAAUGUUUAGUCUGGCCGAAUGUUAUAUGGUACCAGUCCGGCCCAUCCAUUCGACGGCGACUAGGGUUGCUUGAGGUCGGCCCAUCCACGGUGAGUUACGGCGACGGCGACUGGCGAUGGCAUCUCGAUUUGCGGGGGAAGGCGCGGCGCCAGUAGCCGCCUGGCGUCAGGAGCGGGUGAAGCCGGUGGCAGGAGAGGCGGAGGCGGUGAGGUUCCUCGAUUCGCGGUGAGGUUCCUCGAUUCGCGAUGGCGGCGGCUUGAUUCACGGCUGUGGCGGCUCGACCCGCGGCGGCGACGGCGCGGCGGCUCGAGGCUGCUCGAUUACCGGCGGCGGCGGCAGGUCGAUUCGCGGCGGCGGCGGCAGGUCGAUUCACGGCGGCGGCAACUCUAUUCGCGACAGUAGGUGCUCGACUCGCGGACACCGCACAUGUUUGCAAGACGCUGACGGGCUCCGACACCAGCACGCACGGCGGCUUCUCCGUGCCGCGUCGCGCCGUCGAGGACUGCUUCCCACCGCUGAACUACAGCCUGCAGAGGCUGUGUCAGGAGCUCGUUGCCGAAGAUUUGCACAGCACGGAGUGGAAGUUCCGACAAGAGAGUUUCUUCAUUAGUAUAUGAGCUGCACAUUAUCUUGUCUCCAUACAGGCAAGUUUGACUAUGGCACGUGAUCAUCAGAAAUGAUAACACAGUGUUCAUUUGAGGCUAAGUCAAAUGAACUCGUUAUACCCUAUUGGAAGUUCAUGAGAAGCUUGAACCAACCAUUUUCAGUUGGAAUGGGAUGCAGAAUGAGAUAUGAAAGUGAAGAUGCUUAUAAAAGAAGGUGCACUGGGAUAAUAAUUGGAAGCAGAGAGGCAGACCCCAUGUGGCAUGGUUCAAAAUGGGAAUGUUUUGUGGUAUGUUAUCUUCUAUCUUGAUUUGUACAUAAGACGAAUGGCAAUAUUAGCUUUCAGUUUUAGCAUUGUUUCUAUGAAUUAUUAAUGACAUGAUUGCACGUAGAGUUAAUGUCUGCGUCAAGUUGUACUAGGUUGACAUCCUUCCUUACAUGGUGGCUAUUCUAAAUCCUGAACUUACUGGAAGAAACAAAUACAUUACUAUAUUCACUCCUUGUGCUAAGCUUGAAAUAAUCGAUGUAAUUUCCGUUGUUCAUCUUUUUA